Molecule: ribosomal RNA, 759 nt
Filed under: uncultured bacterium
Lineage: Bacteria
Also listed under: 1 other name
Description: bacterial SSU rRNA
Rfam family: Bacterial small subunit ribosomal RNA
Source: RNAcentral
GAUGAACGCUAGCUACAGGCUUAACACAUGCAAGUCGAGGGGCAGCAUUAUCUUAGCUUGCUAAGAUAGAUGGCGACCGGCGCACGGGUGAGUAACACGUAUCCAACCUUCCGGUUACUCGGGGAUAGGCUUUCGAAAGAAAGAUUAAUACCCGAUGUUGCGUAUCUUUCUCCUGAAAGAUACGCCAAAGGAUUCCGGUAACCGAUGGGGAUGCGUUCCAUUAGGCAGUUGGCGGGGUAACGGCCCACCAAACCUUCGAUGGAUAGGGGUUCUGAGAGGAAGGUCCCCCACAUUGGAACUGAGACACGGUCCAAACUCCUACGGGAGGCAGCAGUGAGGAAUAUUGGUCAAUGGACGGAAGUCUGAACCAGCCAAGUAGCGUGAAGGAUGACUGCCCUCUGGGUUGUAAACUUCUUUUAUACGGGAAUAACAUGAGGUACGCGUACCUUAUUGCAUGUACCGUUAUGAAUAAGCAUCGGCUAACUCCGUGCCAGCAGCCGCGGUAAUACGGAGGAUGCGAGCGUUAUCCGGAUUUAUUGGGUUUAAAGGGAGCGUAGGUGGGAUAUUAAGUCAGCUGUGAAAGUUUGGGGCUCAACCUUAAAAUUGCAGUUGAUACUGGUUUCCUUGAGUACGGUACAGGUGGGCGGAAUUCGUGGUGUAGCGGUGAAAUGCUUAGAUAUCACGAAGAACUCCGAUCGCGAAGGCAGCUCACCGGGCCGGAACUGACACUGAUGCUCGAAAGUGCGGGUAUCAAACAGG